Molecule: non-coding RNA, 25 nt
Filed under: Rattus norvegicus (Norway rat)
Lineage: Eukaryota; Metazoa; Chordata; Mammalia; Rodentia; Muridae
Source: RNAcentral
UAGUUUUAACUUUUCCUCUUGGCUC